Small nuclear RNA from Suncus etruscus (white-toothed pygmy shrew), 103 nucleotides. NCBI's taxonomy places the organism in Eukaryota, Metazoa, Chordata, Mammalia, Eulipotyphla, Soricidae. The record is from RefSeq and is a predicted model, not a curated record.
GUGCUCGCUUUGGCAGCACAUAUACUAAAAUUGGAAUGAUACAGAGAAGAUUAGCAUGGCCCCUGUGCAAGGAUGACAUGCAAAGGAUGACACGCAAAUUAUU